UAUUAAAUAGCUGGUACUUCAUUUGAUUGUAAGUACUUCAGUGCAACCAGACUAGAUCUCAGUGUAAGAGAAUAUUAAACUAUAUUUUGAGGUUAUUUGAGGUUAAAAAAUUAAGGGUAAAACAAAAGCACAUUUUGGGUAAAGAAUAAACCAAACCCAACUUACCGCCAAAUUGGUCAAUAAUAUAAUAGGCAUAUAAUAAUAUAUAAUUAAAAUGGGUUUGCUUAAUUUUCUCCAUCAUUUCAAACCAUAAUAAACCCCGGCAUAUAUAAAUACUGUCAUGCCUUCAUUUAUGGCAAGUUAUUCUUCGAUAGUCCGCAGUCCGCACAGCAAGAUGAAGUUGGUGGUGUUCUCAUUGCUGGUGGUCUUUGUCCUUGAGUCACAAGCAUUCCGAUACUUUUGGUAUACUCCUACUCUUGGUACAACUUACCCGGCUAUCCCUUAUCCACAAUACCAACCUCCUUACCGUCAAUAUAAAUACCGGUAUUCUGCCAGCGCGGUUUCAUACUUCCGCCAUCUUCUUUCGACCAUUUAUCCUCGGACUACGUAUUGGUCUAGAAAUGAACCUGAAUUUGAUUUGAGUGACGAGUAUGACGAGGGGCCUGUGCCUGAAUUGUAUGGUAUCAUCGAGGAGGGACGACGAUGUAUCUGUGAAAAGUCACUACCGGCCACCAAAGAGAUGUAUCUAAAGAGUCUAUUUCGCAAGUAGACUUUACUUUAGAAUACCAGAUAAUUAUUUUGUUCUGUAUUUUGUUAGUUGUCUUAUUAAUGCUGUAUUGGAUGGUAACACUUGAAAUAAAAAUACUUAAAGUUUC
This is a long non-coding RNA of Dalotia coriaria, 815 nucleotides long. RefSeq lists it as uncharacterized. Lineage: Eukaryota; Metazoa; Arthropoda; Insecta; Coleoptera; Staphylinidae. The transcript is spliced from 3 exons. The record is from RefSeq and is a predicted model, not a curated record.